Molecule: ribosomal RNA, 428 nt
Filed under: uncultured Desulfovibrionaceae bacterium
Lineage: Bacteria; Pseudomonadati; Thermodesulfobacteriota; Desulfovibrionia; Desulfovibrionales; Desulfovibrionaceae
Description: partial 16S ribosomal RNA
Rfam family: Bacterial small subunit ribosomal RNA
Source: RNAcentral
UGGGGAAUAUUGCGCAAUGGGCGAAAGCCUGACGCAGCGACGCCGCGUGAGGGAUGAAGGUUUUCGGAUCGUAAACCUCUGUCAGAAGGGAAGAAGUUAUAUAUGAUGAAUAAGCAUAUAUAUUGACGGUACCUUCAAAGGAAGCACCGGCUAACUCCGUGCCAGCAGCCGCGGUAAUACGGAGGGUGCAAGCGUUAAUCGGAAUUACUGGGCGUAAAGCGCGCGUAGGCUGUUAUUUAAGUCAGUGGUGAAAUCCUUGGGCUCAACCUAAGAAUUGCCAUUGAUACUGUAUAACUAGAGUAUGUGAGAGGAUAGUGGAAUUUCUGGUGUAGGAGUGAAAUCCGUAGAUAUCAGAAGGAAGAUCAGUGGCGAAGGCGACUAUCUGGCACAAAACUGACGCUGAGGUGCGAAAGCGUGGGUAGCAAACA